GGCUGGGGGCGGGGUAGGUGGUGGCCGUGAGAAGGUAGCCGUGAGAAGGUGGGAGAGGAAGGGGUGGUUAGUCUAUUAGGGAUGCAGGCUUUGGCACCACUACGAAGCCAGGGUUUUCUUUGGGUUUUAACUGUCAGAUUGAGAGUAGCUCUGUUGUAGCCCCUUUGCAGGGUUCCCAUGAGACUUUUCCUAGGUAGUUACGUUGACUCGCUUAGCAACAUAGCAAAUUACAGAAACGGAGUAAGAACGUAAGAAAUCGCAAAGCACGUGACGUAUGGGCUCUCACUGUUCUUGGCCCUUCUCCCGACCCGUAGCCCUGCUCUGCUACGACUGCGUGGUUUGGAUGCUCUUCCAAGAGUCACAUGUCCAAACCAUCCAGAUGCGAUUUUAGUGGAGGACUACCGAGCUGGUGAUAUGAUCUGUCCUGAAUGUGGCUUGGUUGUAGGUGACCGGGUUAUUGAUGUGGGAUCUGAAUGGCGAACUUUCAGCAAUGACAAAGCAACAAAAGAUCCAUCU
RNAcentral lists this small RNA (516 nucleotides) under Pan troglodytes (chimpanzee). Its description in RNAcentral is "processed transcript". The record is from RNAcentral. Lineage: Eukaryota; Metazoa; Chordata; Mammalia; Primates; Hominidae.